UGUCGACGGGCUGUUUAUGCAGCCAGUGGCGGACGGGUGAGUAACACGUAGGUGACCUACCCCAAAGUCUGGGACAACUAGGAGAAAUCUUAGCUAAUCCUGGAUGUGGACAUCUACUUUGGUGGAUGUUUAAAGCUUCGGCGCUUUGGGAUGGGCCUGCGGCGCAUCAGGUAGUUGGUGGGGUAAUGGCCUACCAAGCCGACGACGCGUAGCUGGUCUGAGAGGACGAUCAGCCACAGGGGUACUGAGACACGGACCCCACUCCUACGGGAGGCAGCAGUUAGGAAUCUUCCGCAAUGGGCGAAAGCCUGACGGAGCGAUACCGCUUGAAGGACGAAGCCCUUCGGGGUGUAAACUUCUGAACUCGGGACGAUAAUGACGGUACCGAGGUAAUAGCACCGGCUAACUCCGUGCCAGCAGCCGCGGUAAUACGGAGGGUGCGAGCGUUACCCGGAUUUACUGGGUGUAAAGGGCGUGUAGGCGGUCUCUCAAGUCCGAUGCUAAAGACCGAAGCUCAACUUCGGGGGUGCGUUGGAUACUGUGAGGCUAGACGGUCGGAGAGGGUAGCGGAAUUUCCGGAGUAGCGGUGAAAUGCGCAGAUACCGGAAGGAACGCCAAUAGCGAAAGCAGCUACCUGGACGAUUUGUGACGCUGAGGCGCGAAAGCGUGGGGAGCAAACCGGAUUAGAUACCCGGGUAGUCCACGCCCUAAACGAUGAGUGCUGGGUGUCCGACAUCUGUUGGGUGCCGUAGCUAACGCGUUAAGCACUCCACCUGGGAAGUACGGUCGCAAGACUGAAACUCAAAGGAAUUGACGGGGGCCCGCACAAGCGGUGGAGCAUGUGGUUUAAUUCGAAGCAACGCGCAGAACCUUACCAGGUCUUGACAUCCACGGAACCCUGGUGAAAGCCGGGGGUGCCCGCAAGGGAGCCGUGAGACAGGUGCUGCAUGGUCGUCGUCAGCUCGUGUCGU
RNAcentral lists this ribosomal RNA (971 nucleotides) under Meiothermus sp. Its description in RNAcentral is "bacterial SSU rRNA". It matches the Rfam family "Bacterial small subunit ribosomal RNA", at positions 60 to 1068 of the family's 1533-position model. The record is from RNAcentral. Lineage: Bacteria; Thermotogati; Deinococcota; Deinococci; Thermales; Thermaceae.